Molecule: ribosomal RNA, 378 nt
Filed under: uncultured bacterium
Lineage: Bacteria
Description: bacterial SSU rRNA
Rfam family: Bacterial small subunit ribosomal RNA
Source: RNAcentral
GACGAACGCUGGCGGCGUGCUUAACACAUGCAAGUCGAGCGGUAAGGCCCUUUCGGGGGUACACGAGCGGCGAACGGGUGAGUAACACGUGGGUGACCUGCCCUCAGCUCUGGGAUAAGCCUGGGAAACCGGGUCUAAUACUGGAUAUGACUCCAUGACGCAUGUUGUGGGGUGGAAAGCCUUGUGCGGCUGAGGAUGGGCCCGCGGCCUAUCAGCUUGUUGGUGGGGUGAUGGCCUACCAAGGCGACGACGGGUAGCCGGCCUGAGAGGGCGACCGGCCACACUGGGACUGAGACACGGCCCAGACUCCUACGGGAGGCAGCAGUGGGGAAUCUUGCGCAAUGGGCGAAAGCCUGACGCAGCGACGCCGCGUGAGGG